AAUUCUCAACCUUAUUGGCUUUUGCUAAUAAUGGAUUGGAUGUGGGGGACUCUUUUGCUGGCUUCUUAGCAGAGGUCAGCUCCCCUUAAAUGCAUUAGCUGGUGCCCCGCGUGGACCAUCUAUUGGUGUGAUAAUUAUCUACGCCGUGGAUGUCUGCAAUCAUAUGGGUUUUGCACUGCUUCUAACCGUCUGUUCAUUCGGACAAUACAUGACA
This 214-nucleotide unclassified non-coding RNA is filed under the name uncultured Alnicola. RNAcentral describes it as "sequence contains ITS2". The record is from RNAcentral. Lineage: Eukaryota; Fungi; Basidiomycota; Agaricomycetes; Agaricales; Cortinariaceae.